RNAcentral lists this long non-coding RNA (542 nucleotides) under Homo sapiens (human). RNAcentral describes it as "HSALNT0364278". The record is from RNAcentral. Lineage: Eukaryota; Metazoa; Chordata; Mammalia; Primates; Hominidae.
UUCAUGCCUAAACGAGUGGGAAUGUUGAAAGAUAAACUGUUUUCAUUGCUGUUUGUUUGGUCUGAAUCAUCUGGGAAACAUGCUAAUUCUACUUUUUCCCCAGCUAUUACCCCUGUAUGCACACAAGUUGAACCUAACGGCAUUAAAAGAAAAGGACAAGCUGUGAAAUGCCUAGAUUCCAGAGCAACAGACUGUGAUCCAUUCCCAACAACCCCUCCCUACCGUCUGCCACCAGUUCCCUUAAAGCAGGAAUCAGAGCUAGACUGACUCAACUAAGUGGAAAAUAUGUAUUGCCUAGGAAUUUGAAUUCUGACAGAAAUGUUGAGGAGAGGAGUAAAUCAUAUUAAAGGCAAGAAGCUUGACAUAGCAUCGAUGAGCCCAAGUCAACUAUAUGAACAAAACAAUGUCUCAGGAGGGGCAGGGUAUCACGUCAGAAGAAUCCUGAGUCCUUAGAUGACCUUGUAGAAAAGAGCCACAAACUUACUCUGGGCUACCUUCAUACCUCUGAACUAUUAUGCAGAGAGAAAUAAAUGUAUUCAAAU